CCCUGUUUAGGCAUGUGACCUUGGGCAAGUCACUAAGACCUCUGCUUCCUUUUGUGAAAGGGGCUAAUCAUGUCUGCUUUCAGAGUUGGGAACCUUGAAUGAGAUCACACACACAAAGGCACUCAGCACACCAAACGCGGGGCAUCCCUCCUGUCCUGCCAGUUUGCAGGCCGUCUGAGCUCAGGUCAUUGAUUGAUUGAUUGGGUGAAAGGAUCAUGGAGAGGAUGCCAUCCAGUUGGAGAUAUGGUGUGAGCUGAAAAUCCCAGAGUAAAUGUCCUUUCCAGGACAGCAGAGACGAAAAGAGCUUUUCUGGCUGGGAGAUUCCAAGAAGGCUUUGUGAAGAAGGAGCAGCAUUAACCCGAGUUUCUCAGUGGGCUCAGACUUACAGGUGGAGAAGGGAAGGGGAUGCGGUGGGAGGAAUGGCAUGGGCAAAGGCCUUCAGUGAGAAAGCUGGGCACACAGCCGUAAAAUGGCUGUGAAUAGGCUGCUUUCCUAGAGCAAAGGGUAAGUGCGGUAAAACGGAAAGGGCGUUGUUCCCAAUUCCUGGAUUAUUAAAACAAAAGCGGGAUAUAUUGGGAAAAGAGUAGGAGGCUGAAUUAUUUGGAUAAUUACAAAACUGUUCCCUUGAAUCCCCGAUUUGCUUUGCUCCCUGUGGGUGGCUUGCCUCCUUUCUCCUUCACCGCGGGGAUCACAGGCUUCAGAAACCCUGAGGGGAAUGUCCCCAGAGAAGAGCCCCUCCCGUCUCCCCUUCUCCCUCAGGUCGUCACUUUGCCUCCUUAACCCCACUCCCACUCCUCAAAGGAAGAAGGUGGUGUUGGAGGAAGACUGGAGGGGGAGCCCCCUAUCUGAGGUCCCCAGACUGUCUUCAGAGAAAGGGAGGAGCAGCCUCAGCUUGGCGUCUGGGGCCCUGUUUCAUCCUUGGGCUGGCAGAGCAGUCCCCGAUAGCAGCAGGAAUGAAGAACAUGGGCCGAAGGAGGAGAUAAUUUAGGCCUGUUUCCCUGGCUGAUUCCGCUGUGCCUCCUUCUAUCUCUCUGCCUCUGAUUCUCUCCUCCUCUGUCUCUCUCAUGGUCUCUGAAGGAGAUGAAUUCCAGGUGUCUGAAAGAUCCUGAGUGCUAUGAACUGGCUUUCACAUCUGCGACCUGCUGUAGCCCUCCCACAACACUGGGCCCAGGGGUGUUGAUUUUCUUUUACAAAUGGGGCAACUAAGGCAUGUUAACAGCUGAGCCUAGGUUUGAACCUGGUUCCCCCUGUGCUGGUGCAGAGCUGUUUCCCCUGGGAUAUAUGUCUCCAGUGUCACUGCCCUUCCACUGGGUUUCCUGCUUUUACCUAACAUCGACUCACACGGUCAUUUUCGGGGUGGCAGGGCCUCCUGUCUUGUCGUUUUAAUGGCCACAUGGCAUUCCAUCAUGUUGAUGGAUCAUUUUGUUUGGUCACUCCCUCAUCGUUGGAUAUGUGUGAGGUGUCUAAUUUCUUGCUAUAAUAAAUG
Molecule: long non-coding RNA, 1486 nt
Filed under: Homo sapiens (human)
Lineage: Eukaryota; Metazoa; Chordata; Mammalia; Primates; Hominidae
Description: HSALNT0239959
Source: RNAcentral